ACUCCUACGGGAGGCAGCAGUGGGGAAUAUUGCACAAUGGGGGAAACCUUGAUGCAGCCAUGCCGCGUGUGUGAAGAAGGCCUUCGGGUUGUAAAGCACUUUCAGUAGGGAGGAAGGUAGUGUAGUUAACACCUGCACUAUUUGACGUUACCUACAGAAGAAGCACCGGCUAACUCCGUGCCAGCAGCCGCGGUAAUACGGAGGGUGCGAGCGUUAAUCGGAAUUACUGGGCGUAAAGCGCAUGCAGGCGGCCUGUUAAGUCAGAUGUGAAAGCCCGGGGCUUAACCUCGGAAUUGCAUUUGAAACUGGCAGGCUAGAGUCUUGGUAGAGGGGGGUAGAAUUUCAGGUGUAGCGGUGAAAUGCGUAGAGAUCUGAAGGAAUACCA
Molecule: ribosomal RNA, 385 nt
Filed under: uncultured bacterium
Lineage: Bacteria
Description: bacterial SSU rRNA
Rfam family: Bacterial small subunit ribosomal RNA
Source: RNAcentral